CUCUUCGGAGCUAGUGGCGGACGGGUGAGUAACGCGUGAGAAUCUGCCUUCUUGUCUGGGACGACAGAAGGAAACUUCUGCUAAUCCCGGAUGAGCCCUUGGGUAAAAGAUAAAUUGCCUGGAGAUGAGCUCGCGUCUGAUUAACUAGUUGGUGUGAUAAAAGCAUACCAAGGCGACGAUCAUUAGCUGGUCUGAUAGGAUGAGCAGCCCCACUGGGACUGACACACGGCCCAGACUCCUACUGCAGGCAGCAGUGGGGAAUUUUCCGCCAUGGGCGAAAACCUGACAGAGCAAGACCGCCUGGGGCAGGAAAGC
Molecule: ribosomal RNA, 315 nt
Filed under: uncultured bacterium
Lineage: Bacteria
Description: bacterial SSU rRNA
Rfam family: Bacterial small subunit ribosomal RNA
Source: RNAcentral